ACAAAGCUAUGCCCGCUUUUGUAGCUAAAAAUCUCUUGUUUUAUUUUCUUUCCGCAAAUGUGCAAACUUACAAAAUUAUUUUGCUUUUACUCUCACUGGCGAACAAUAUGUUUUUAAUUAAAAUCUUUUGCACAUCCGGUAAAAAAAAAAAAAAAAAAAAGAAAACCCCUUUGCACAAAGCUCAUUUAUCUUGGGUAUGUAACUUCCUUGAAUGUUCCAAAUUUUGUACUUGAACUUUGAUGUAAACCGCGUUUAUAUUCUAAUGUGUAUUAAAUUUAUUCUACAUAUAUUUCGUAUAUAAUUUUAAAUGAGUUUAUUGUUCAUACUCGUAUUUUUUCUAGAGAGAGGGAAAGUUGUCGAAACAGUUGGCAGCCGUUGGAAUUUGAGAAGUUGGUAGUUGGUGGUACUUUAUAAUAAAAAGCAAUUUUUUAACGUAGUUUAGUCUAAAUUUGUUGACAAUAAAGUUCCAAUUAAUGGCGGUGAUAAAAUGAUUAUUAC
RNAcentral lists this long non-coding RNA (498 nucleotides) under Olea europaea (common olive). RNAcentral describes it as "long non-coding RNA (OEUR_LNC004029)". Lineage: Eukaryota; Viridiplantae; Streptophyta; Magnoliopsida; Lamiales; Oleaceae. The record is from RNAcentral.